CGGAUAGACAGGUGAGCAGGUGCAUGGGGACUGCUGCCAGACACUGGGGCAAGCUGGCAGAGGCGGGGCGGGUAGUGGCUUCCUUGUGGUUUUUCCCUUGAGGGCGGAUUCUCCCUGUGGGGAAGGACACAGUGUGCAUGUCUUGCCUUCGCUGCCACCUCCUCCUUCUCUCAAUAUCCUCUUGCUGGGAGGAGGUUCCUCAUCUCCGUUGUUGCAUCCAGCUGCUGCUACUGCCAGUGCCACGUGCCUUGUAAGCCAUGAAAGAGGCUGACACCUGCACACUCAGGCACGACUUAAAAUAGAACUUGUCAAACAGUGAUCCACUCUGGAUCAAGCUCGGAACAACAAACAGCUCUUGAACUCACCUCCCAGCCUAAAAAGACUGCAGUGUGUGACACUUGGGGUAGUUUGGUGGGAACGACAAAAUCCUGACGAUCCUCAGCCCUAUCCUUCUCAUCUCCCCUACUGAAGUUCUUGCCUGUGGAAGUGCUGUUUUCAUGAAUACAUUCAUGUUCCCACCCAGAUGAAAGUGACCUAAGGCCAGGUGCGGUGGCUUACGCCUGUAAUCCCAGCAGUUUUGGAGUCCGAGGUGGGCGGAUCACGAGGUCCGGAGAUCGAGACCAUCCUGGCUAGCACGGUGAAACCCCAUCUCUACUAAAAGAUACAAAAAAUGAAAAACAAAAAGUUAGCAGGGCGUGGUGGCCGGCGCCUGUAGUCCCAGCUACUUGGGAGGCUGAGGCAGGAGAAUGGCACAAACCCGGGAGGCGGAGCUUGCAGUGAGCCGAGAUCGCGUCCCUGCACUCCAGCCUGGGCAACAAAGCAAGACUCCGUCUCAAAAAAAAAGAAAAAAAAGUGAUCUAAAACACUGUACCCAAUUCCACUUUAAAAAAAAUAUUUUUCUUUCAGAUAGCAUAGGUUGACAAAUUUUCACUUAGUUUCCCUCUUCUCUGCCUCCUUUGCCAAGAGUAAGAAAUUCAUGUUAAUAUAUGUAGUCAACUACACAACUCCUUCAGUGAAAUUCAAAAAGAAAGAAAAACUAUAUAUAAAAUGUUUUCAUACUAACAAACAUUGAGUAGUAAAUUUCUUUUAGUUUUGUGCAGAUAUCUAUUUUACCAUAGUUGCCAUUGUGGUUGGUAUACAUAGGCUAGAGAAAGAAAAGUAUGUUAAAGAAAGGAGUUUAUUUAAUUUUUACUGGCUGCUUAAUUGUUUAAAAUUGUAGCUGUCACACACUGAUUAUCUCUUACCUGCCACACACUUUUACAUGUGUUAUUUCUAAAUCCUUACCAUAGUCCUUCAAGUAAGUUAUUAUCCCCAUACUAGGACACUGGUCUAAAGAGAGGUUCAGUCAAUUGUGUGAAGUCACACUUAAGGAAGUGACACAAUUAGGAUUUGAUCCUAGUUGUGACUGGCUGAAGCCACAGCUCUACUCCUAUCCCACACUGCCUAUACUGGGACCCAGACCAAAGCCAUUACUAAUUUCUACCAAAGUGACCAGACAAAAGAUACUAAUGAGACCAGGAAAGGUCAUAUAAAAUUAACAUCAUCAUGUUUUUGUAUGUAUAUUUGAAAGCGCCCCACCAAGAAAUGAUAUCUGGAGCCAAUCUGGUCUUAUAUCUCUUAUCUAUGCCUAGAAAUGUUCAGAAAAUGCUAUUAGCCUUUCUAUUUCCUGGAAAUCAUUUUAAUCC
Long non-coding RNA from Pongo pygmaeus (Bornean orangutan), 1685 nucleotides. RefSeq lists it as uncharacterized. The record is from RefSeq and is a predicted model, not a curated record. The transcript is spliced from 3 exons. NCBI's taxonomy places the organism in Eukaryota, Metazoa, Chordata, Mammalia, Primates, Hominidae.